Molecule: long non-coding RNA, 2901 nt
Filed under: Canis lupus familiaris (dog)
Lineage: Eukaryota; Metazoa; Chordata; Mammalia; Carnivora; Canidae
Description: lncRNA (ENSCAFG00805012071.1, ENSCAFG00845016675.1)
Source: RNAcentral
UUUUUGUUUUCUUUUUGGUGGUUGUUGUUGUUUUAUCUUUUUUUAAGUCUUUUUUUUAAGAUUUUAUUUAUUUAUUCAUGAGAGACACAGAGAGAGAGAGGCAGAGACUCAGGCAGAGGGAGGAGCAGGCUCCCUGUGGGGAACCCAAUGUGGGACUCUGGAUCCCAGGUCCCUGGGGUCACGCCCUGGGCCAAAGGGAGGCAUCCAACUGCUGAGCCAGCCAGGGAUCCCAUUCUUUUUGUUGUUGUUGUUGUUUUUAAGGCUAAUUCUUAAUUGUCAAUUUUAAUUGCUGCAAUUGCUUAAAUAAAAAUCUAUUACUUAUUAACUACUUAUUUAAACCAUAUUUCAAAACGUUUUGCUUUCAGUAUUUCAAAUCAUAUUUCAACAAGAGUGUGUAUGUGUGUAGAUAUUUAUAUAGCUAUCUGAACUAUAUAUGAUGCAGUGUCAAAUUCUGUUAUUUUAAAGAAGUUAAAAUAAUUGAAUACUAGGCUAUGCUUUAAAAAUUAAUAUAAUAAAGGUUUAGAGAUAUUGCAGGAUUCUGAUAUAGCCUACUGAUUUCAAGUUACAAAGUACUUAUAUUUAGAGUCAUUUAUAUCAAUGAUCCAAUUAUUUAAUCAAUACAAAAGGGCACGUAAUUAUAGUCUAUAAAGUAUAAAGAUCAUGGCUUCAAGAACUGCAGCAAGAACAGUAAUGUAUUGCAACACAGCCAUUGCCAAGAACAAUACUUCCUCUGGUUUAAACACUUUCUGAACCAGAAGAACUUAAGCAUAAUAUACUGAAAUCGAAACAUUUGAUGGCAUCAAAUUAUUUUUCUCUACCUGAUACAAGAAGAGGAAGAUAAACUGAGAAAUCAAUGUUACUGUUCCAAAACAAUAAAAAGAAAAUAGUAUUUAAUUUUUUUCAUACUAAUCAGUUAAGAUAUGAAAGUAUUAAAGAAGGGUUUGAACAAAGAAUUGAAAAUUAGCUUACCAAUCUGCUUCAAAUAAUUUCGGAUGAGAGUUAUUAAUAUGAAACGAUCAUUCUUCAUGCUCAAGAAAAGAUUUAGAAAUACAGGUAAUGUUUAAUCUUAAUUUUAUCUCAUUCUAUCAAUUUCAUUUCAAUGGAAUUUAAACUGUUAUUUUAAUAUAUAAUUCAUAAUUUAUACUAUUUGUACUUAUGAAUAAAAAUCUAAGUACAUGAUUUAUAUUUGUAUUAAGACUUCUUUGAAAUGCAGUUUGCCUUCCUGUUUAUUUCCAUUGAUUUAUUUAAACUUUAUGAAAUAUGAACACUUCUAAAAGUAGAAGACUGGUAUUGAUACAAACAUUCUCAUUUAGCUCUGGUUCGUCUCGCUAUCAUUCUUUGAAACCUAAAUGAAUGUAUUCACAAAUGAGGCAGGUAACAGCCAUAAAACAUAUGGGAAACAUAUGCUCUGUACAAAGAUGUUUAAAUAAUUUGUUAACACUAGGCAAAAGAGACAAAAUAUAUCUUCAUGCCAAAUUCGUCACUCAAACUACAACUCUGUGACUUCUAUAACUGGAUCCCAUUCUCUUCCAUAUUCUUCUAAUUCUUCUAAAAAAGUUUCCUUCUCACCGUGUUGUACAUACUUAUUCCUUUUCACUCCAUUAUCAUUCUCUCUGCCUUUCUGAAAACUGUUGAAUUAAGCUAUGUGUUCUGAAGUUCACUGAGAUUAAUAAUAGGCUCCCAGAAAAAAAAAAUUAAAAAAAAUUUCCAUCUCAGACAUCUACUUGCGAUGUCUGCCUAGAGCAGAGAAUGAGGGAGUGGCAACAUGAAUACCUUUGUCAUCCCUGUCUUAAGCCAGACAUACCUCAAUUUAACCUCAGAGUUAUUGUCCAAUUACUUAUCUUUAUUAAAAUGUAUCAGACUUUCCAUUUUCUAAAUAAGAUUUUGGAUAGGCAAAUGCAUAUGUGAUAUUAAGACUAAGUUUAUAUAAAUACUUUUCUUUUCCUAUCAGAUUCUAUAAAAGGUUUGUAGAAAAGUUUGGGCUUUUAAAAAUUCUUUAAAAACAGAAGGAAGCAGGAAAAUAGUAAUUUUCCUUUAUGUAGUGACUGAGUUCCAUUUAUAACUGAUUUUCAAAAACACUGUUUUGGUGCUUUGCUUUCAACUAGUUUAAUUAUGAUACAAAAUGAAUAAGGGUAGACAUUACUGUGCGUUUUCUAACUACUGCUAGAUAGACGAUAGACGUUGUCAUAAAUAGAUAUAGAAGCACAGGAAACAGACAUGAAACCCAGAUUUUGCUUAAUAUUAGAAGUGACCCAUAUAUGGUCCUCAACUAGAUUGUAGUAUUGCAAAGCGCAUUGAUUUUAGAUAGUUAGUCCUUUUUCUUCUCCCCCAAGAUAUAUAGUCAGUGACUAGAGCACAAUAAGGAUAAAUUCAUAUUGAAUUGAAAAGGUGUUGCAAGUGGUCUGUCAGGAAUAAAAUGAGGAUUUCAAAAUCCUUAUGAGGGAACAGUCGGGAGAUUAUGCUUAGAGAUAAGAAGGGAAAAUAUAGGUGAAUAAGGGAAAAUAACUAGACAUCAAAUAGAAACAGGCUUAGGAAGACAGGGUCUCUCCCUGAGGACUCAAUGUCCAUGUAACUCCAUGUGGCAACAAGAUGGUUUAAGUUAGUUUAAUAAAUAAACCCAUAUCGAAUGAAGUAUUUUAUUCGUAUUUCAAUCUAUUUCAGUAUCCCAUCAUCAUUUUAAAAGAAGCCGCCUUCGGGUCAAGUUUAAGACUUUUAUGAUAUACAUAUUACCACGUGUUGGCAUCAAAAGAAAGAAAUACAUUAAAUCUAAAAAUACAUGCAGCGCUAUACACAACCUUAAAAUGCCUUAGAAAUGCACGCUAUGUGACAACUACACGCCAUGUGUAAUCUGCAGUUGGAAUCUGGACCAAAACACAGUGAAGCAAAAGCACAACAAAAAAA